Molecule: long non-coding RNA, 12372 nt
Filed under: Daucus carota (carrot)
Lineage: Eukaryota; Viridiplantae; Streptophyta; Magnoliopsida; Apiales; Apiaceae
Description: long non-coding RNA (DCAR_LNC000460)
Source: RNAcentral
CCGAAACCUUCGAGUCCUUCGCCAUUAAAAACAAGAAGUUUUGUACAGUGAUGCUGAAUAUGUUGUGCACCUCAGUAAAUGACUUUAUCAAAUUCACGAUGACUGAAGUUGAUAGAAAGAUGAUUGCUGAGUACAGGGAUGUAUUUGCUGACCUGAAGAUAUUAGGAUUCGAUGUUAGUUGGCUCGCGGGUCGUCUGAAUUAUAUAGAACAUCUCCAAUUUUCACAUCCCUUACUCACUGAGCUUUAUGCACUUGACGGUCAUCUUAAUGGUGCUAGAAGUAAAUUACAAUAUUUGCAGACUCAUAGUGGUGAUACCGAAAUUAGAUUGCAAGACCUACAAACUCUUCGUGAUGAGAAAAUGCAGGAGAUUGAGAAAGCUUUUGGAACUUUGGGUACAAAACUUGUUGCUGGCUGUAUCGGAGAUGAGUUAUUAUCUACUCCCUAAUCUUCUUGGAAUUAUUUUUCUUUAAGAGUUCUGGAUGCCUUCUUCUCUUGUUUACUCUCUCUGGUCCUUGAGUCUUUAGUACGCAUUAGGUGUCACGGAUAUUGUCUUUGUGUUGAUCUGUCAGCUGUGUUUGGUUUGCUACUGUUUGUCAAGGUGUAGGGUAAGCUUGAAUCAUGUAAGAUGUUGCAUUCCAUAAAAGAAUUUUCUAGCAUAUUAUAUUAUGAGCUGUGCUAUAUAUGCUGUUAUUUUUUAAAUACUUCCUCUGACAUUUCUGCAGUUCUCAUUCUCGCAUGUUUGUGUUCCCCAUCCUAUUAAUUGAUGCAAAGAUACUGACAUGGACAUCGGGAAUCCUGCAUAUUUCUCCAAGCACCACCAUCGUGACAGGUGGUUGUCAGAACAAUUGUAUUACAAAAUUUGUUUGGUCAAUUGGAUUCAAACAAAUUAGGCAAAGUUUGGGAUAUAUAGUGGGUGUUUUGGCCGAACUUUCAAGCCGGAGUUAUAAGUUAGAACCACUUAUUUGUACUGUUUGUGUAAAAAGUCAAGAAAACCUUAUAAAAAGUUAAGAAUAGUAGUUUUUGUUUCAUGGCUUCUACUUCAUUUCCCAACACUUUAACCAUUUAUAAGUCUUAACUUGCUUCUAACUUCCACUUCAUUUUUUUUACUUUAAAUAAAAAUCACUUAUUUUAAACGCAUCCAAACGACCUCAUAAUUUCUUUUACAUAUGAAAGUGAAUGACGGGACUAGCGAAUUAUAGAGGAAAAAGGUCACAUAUGUCAUUUCAUAAGGAAUGUCCAAAAUAAUAGGGUUAUAGAAAAAAUGAUCUCAAAUACCAUUUAGUAACGCUAAAUAAUAUGGCGUUUUGAUUUUUAGGAGAGGAUGCUAGAUUGUGUUACAUUUAAGCCUGAAAAUUCUCUAAAAAAAACGUUACACGAUAUGACGUUUUAAGAAUAAAACGCUACAUAAACGCUAGACAGUUUAGCGUUUAGGGUUUCAAGACGUUAGAUUGUCUAGUGUUAAAGAAGGAAAAAAAGGGAUAAACGCUAGACGGUCUAGCAUUUUGGAUUGUAAAAUGGUAGCUCGCGAUCAUCUUCUUUGGAUUGUAAAAUGCGUUUUGAUGAUCCGAAACCCUACGAUUUAUAGGGGUAUUUAUGGGUGCAGAGAGACUUGUGUCCUACUCAUUUCCAUAAUUAAAUAAUCUGAAACAAAAUCAAAUUAAAAAACUUGCAAGCCACUAUAUUCCAUAAAUAAUCUGAAACAGAAUCAGAUUAAUACUUGCAAGCUUUUAUAUUCCAUAAAUAAUCUGAAUCAGAAUUAGAUUAAUUUAUACCAAGAUAUUACCAUAUAUAUUAAUCCGAAACCAAAAAAAAAAGUAGUUUUUAUUUUUGAUAUCUUUCAUCCGAAAAUUCCAAAAAAUUAGAAAAAUAGAAUAGAGAUAUCUAAGAGGCGCCACCUACACGCUCUUCGCUUCUCGUUUAUAUAAGUAUAUUGAUGAUUAGUUGUAUGUCUUGAACCUGACGUGAACGGGAUACUUUGUAUAUUGAGAAAUUUGUAAUUUUGGAAUUAAGAUAAUAAAAAAGUGACUUGAGAAAAUUCUAUUUCUUUCACAAAAAAUCUAAUAUAAAAAGGGUUAUGCAUGCAGAAAUAAAUAAUUAUAUGGCAGAGAAACAAAGCUUCGUUCACGGACACUGGGCAUGAGUACGAUGGAAGAGAAAUAUGUCGUAUGAUUUAAUUAAAAAGAGGUUUUCUUUUGUUAAAUUUAGAGCGGAUUUCACUAAUAUUUUGAAAGAUACUUAAUCGAGAUGAAUCCCAGUUGAUCAUGCAAUCAUGCUGAAAAACAAAUAAAUGAGCAAAAUAAUUAAUCGUUUUGUUUUCGGAUUACUUAACUAACUGAAUACAAAUAUUUUGAAAAAUAAAACUGAAUAUGAUGAUUUCACAAGCAAUCCAGUCUGCAUCUCUCCAGAAAAGAGUAGCUUCACAAUUGACACUCACAAUUAUUUCAUGGAUGUUAAGAGGAUUCAGUUGCAAAAACUGAGUUUGGAGGUCUCAUGUUAUGAAUAGAAUUUUUUUGUGAGAGAUGAGCACAUGCAAUUUUCAAUACAGUUCCAUAAGAACCCCAAUUAUCAACCUACCGGACACUAGCUAUAGACAUGUCGAAAGUGUUGUUGAUGCGAGAUUUUCAAAUUUCUCAAUACAUCGUAAGAUUCAUUUUCAACACAAACAUCACAUUACAUAAAGCGAGACACAUCUGACAAAAGUGAGACACGUAAACACACAAAUAAUAACUUAAACAAAAUGAAACUGAAAAAACCCAAAUGGAUUUUUCGAGUUUUAUUAAAUAAAACUCGAUUUUGUUGAAGAAUAAACAAAUAAAAGAGGAUGUUUAUUGAUAGAAAAUUGAAAACAAGACAAGAAACGGUUAUGAAUUGAGUUUGGCAAAGAUGGGAGAAAGGGGACAAAGAUGGAGGUUGGAGAUGGGUAGAAUAUAUGGACAAGUAUAAACCUGACAAUUGUUUAUACGACACGAUAACGAGACUAAACAUAAAUGUUAUUGUUUGUAUUUUGAGUACACGACAUGUAAAAUAUACGAAUACGAAAUACACAACUAAGAUUUAGUGUCGAUUUUGUAUUUAUCUUUGGUACACGACACGAGUUAUGCGAAAUAAAUAUAAUUCAAAUUAGAUAUAUAAAAUUUACUCUCUCCAUCCCAGCCAAUUCUUUCCGUUUGGUUUGGCUAAGGAGGUUAAAAAUUACGUAUAAAGUAGUGGAAAAGAGAAAGAAAAGCGGGUGAAGUGAUGGACCUAUUGAUUUUUAAUGCAUAAAAGAGGAGAUAAUGGAGUAAAAACAGUGUUACAGAAAUCGGGAAUCGGACCUCAUCGGUUGAGCUACCGAUUCAAGGAUUAAUCGGAAAUCGGGGAUUAAUCGGAAGGAUUAAUCGGAGUAAAAAUCGGGUUUAUUUUAAUAUUAAAAUAUUGUUUAAUAUUUAGUUAUUAUUAUAUUAACUAUUUAGUAACUAAUAUAUUUACUAUAUUCAUGAACUCCAUAAUUAUUCAUAUUUAAAGUAAUAUAGUCUUUUAAUUUUAAUAAUUUAUCACAUAUGAUUCGAUUAAGAAAUAGAUAUAAGGAUUAAUCGGAUUUCAAAAAUCGGAUCGGUGGCCGACCUUGCAGGAGAUUAAUCGGGGAUUAAUCGGUUAAAUCAGGGAUUUUUAGAACACUAAGUAAGAGUAGUGUGAAAAGAAAGGAAAGUGGAAUAGUGGUGAGACUCAUUAAUUAUUUUUUGUAAGUUUUGAAAUAUAGUAAUAAAUAAUUGGAUGGAACAUUCAAAAAGGAAACCGCAGAGAAAUGGGAUCGCGGAGUACUUUAUUUGAAAUAUACAACAAAUGUAUUAGAAACAGAAGGGUCAUGUUCCCUGACAACUGAUUGUCAGGGAACUUUUAAUCAACACACUGCUCCCCAGCCGUUGGAUCAUCGAUCCAACUGCUGGGACAAAAGAAUUUUUUUUUAACUAUCCGCGCUCUUUUUCCGUGGAUACUAGGGCUUCCGCGCUUUGUUACGCAGAUAUCCACUGUUAUUUUACGCGGACCAACCAUUACAUACCCACCUGCAUCUAUUUUCAUCCAUCACUUCCAGUACUCCACGACCUACCUUCACGGCUUCACCCUCUGUUCUUGCCAACCCAUCAUCGAUGUAGCUUAUGUUCGCGCAGGCCACAACUCGACCUUCUUUUUUUAACAGUCGAGCCGCUGAGUUUCAUCAAAACACGGCCGCCACUUAACACAGCUUUUCUCCUCCUAGCAACACCAAAACUCGCUCCCCCCGUGUCGGCGACAUUUGACUCCCCGCCUAGAAUCGCUGCGCUUCAACACUCUCAGGAGGGCGCCGAUCAGAACUAACCACCAGCACCUCCUUCGCGUGUGAGGAGUAAAACCCUAAUUUCUCUGAGAGCUGCAGCGAAACGGGAGUUUCGGAGUUUUAAAACUGUUCUGGUAUGUCUGCCUAAAAUAAUACUCCCUCCGUCCCUCCCAUUUCUUAUCGUUUGGAUUGGGCAAGGAGGUUAAGAAAUAUGUAUAAAGUAGUGGAAAAGAGAAAGAAAAGUGGGUGAAGUGGUGGGACCCAUUGAUUUUUAAUGUAUUAAAAGAAGAUAGUGGAGUAAAAGUAGUGUGAAAAGGAAAGAAAAAUGAAGAAGUGGUGGGACCCAUUGACUAUUUUGGGUAAGUUUUGAAAUGUAAAGAAUUGGAUGGGACACCCCAAAAAGGAAAGUGUAAAGAAAUGGAAGGGACGGAGGGAGUAGCAGAUAUCCGCGUAACAAAGCGCGGAAGCCCUAGUAUCCGCGGAAAAAAAAAGCGCGGAUAGUUAAAAAAAAAAUCUUUUGUCCCAGCUGAUGGAUCGUUGAUCCAACGGCUGGGGAGCAGUGUGUUGGUUAAACGUUCUCUAACAAACCGUUGUCAGGGAACAAGACCCAAAACAGAAAUAUGAUAGUAGGGCUGAUUAUUUGGUAAAAACCGAACCGAAUUACCGAAUACCGAAAUACCGAAUAAGCUCAAAAACCAUAACUGAAUAGUGAACCGAAUUUAAUUCGGUUAUUUUACCAAACCAAAUUUUUUAUUUCGGUUAAAACCGAAUACCGAAAAAAAACCAAAAUUUUAUAAUAUUGAACAAAAAUUCCAAAAAUAAUGGGAAAAACACCAAGAGGCAGACAUAAUAACAUAAAGAAGUUGAUUCGUUCAUCCGUGCAGAAAGCCACUCAGCAAAAGCAAGCCAGUGACAGCAAGUCAGCAACCCAUUUGCAAGAAAUUGAUCAACAUCUCAGUCGCCAAAACACCAACCCAAAAGUCGAAGGUGAGUCCAAUUAAAUAACGAGUUCAACGAAACUAAUUUCCCCCAAAAUCGAAGUUGAAGUUCCGUGACAGCAUACCUUAAUCAUCAAUCGAUGAUGGUGAAGAUGAUGGGUGAAGAUUGAACUCUGAAGGGAACCAGCCACCGGGGUGAAGGUCGCCGUUGAAAGAAAAUGUGAAGGUGAAGUUGCUGAGCGUGAGGCGUGAGGCGGCUUAAUUGAACUGCGUGUUUGGGUGUUUGAAGUUUUAAAUGAACCAUUGGAACUAGGUUAGUACUCAGUAGUGUUACAUAAUAUAUAAGAUAUGUAUUGAAAUAUAAAUUUAUAUGCAUAUAAUAUAUUAUUUAAUUUUUUAUUUUAUAUAUUUCGGGUAUUCGGUUUUUUCGGUACGGUAAAAAAACCGAAAUACCUAAAUAGCCAAAAAAUCAUAACCGAAUUAGGUACCGAAAUAUUUCGAUUCGGUUAACCGAACCGAAAUAUUUCAGUAAUUUCGGUUCGGUAUUCGAUUAACCGAACUGAAUGCUUAGAGCAAGUCCAAUAAGUGUGCUAAAUCAAGUCUUAAAUCCAAAAAUAAAGAAUAUGGGAUAAAAUUGCACUCCAACACUAUGCUAGUGAUGUGCUAAAUCACUAGCACAAGCCUCUCCUUCCCUAUUUUUAGAAUAUGCUAGCCACUUCUAAACUAUUUUUAUCAUUAAAAAAGGGAAAAUAAAUUCAACCGUCCUUGAACUUUACCGGUUUUAUGAUCUACGUCCUUGAACUAUAAAAAAAAUAAAUACGAUCCUUGAACUUUUUAAUAUUUCUGAUUCGGGUCCUUCUGUCUAAAUAAAGUUAACAGACGUUAACUUUUGCUUAGGUGGCAGCUGAUAAAAUUAAAAGAAAAAUGCUGGAUGCUAUAUGGAUAUUAUGUGGCACUUUAAUAAAAAAUUGUAUUGGAUGUUAUUGCACUUUAAUAAAAUUUUAUUUUCAUUAAUUGAUUUUUUUACUCUAAUAUCUUUCUAUAACACAAUGUAAAAUUGAAACAAAAACAAAGAUAAGAUUGAAAUAGAGUACUUGAACAUUAAGUGAUAGUGUACUGAUAUUACAUUGGAAUAAAUAGCUUAAAAAUAAAACAAAUACUAAGUAGCAAAAAUAUUCCAAAAUACUCAUAAUUUUAAUACCAGACAUCUUAAAUUCUUGUAAAAGUAGUCCACAUUUUGUACUCUAAACCUCCAAAGUUCACAUUCACCGUUUUUUUCCUCCAGUAGGUUGGCUUGAGCUAUGAACUCUUUUUGUAGUUGCAGGAGCUGAAGUCGAUCCUACUGGUUGUGAACUAGUUACUCUGAUUGUUUCGGUUGUUGUUGAGAAGUAAGUAUGACCAUCCUUGUUACAUUUGUAAACCCCUACACCUGGUGGAGGUAGUGGAAGUGGCUGAGGCAGCACAUGAACAUUGGCUGCCUUAGGUGGUCUUCCCCGUUUUCUUUUUGGUUGUUCAACUUGGUCUGCAACGUCAGGCUUCUUUUUUUGACUUGUUACCUUCUUCCUCUACAUAUAUUAAGAACAACAUAUGUUAGUACAUUAACUAAGAACAUCAAAUAUUUAAAGGCAUACUAAAACCUAACCUUUGCUGCAGCUUGGGCCCUUGCAGCCUCACUAUGAGCCUUUUUUGCCUCAGCAGCUUCUCUUUGUCUUUCAUUGAUUUCUUCAUCACUUGCUUUACAAGUUGUUUUAUUGUGACCAUAGAGUAGACACUUACUGCAUCUCAUUGCCACCCCUUUUUUUCCUAACUUCAUCCCGGCCCCAACUUCACCCUGUUCCUUUCUCCUAUUUUUCUUAGGUCUCCCGGGCAUUCUUCUUGCCUUUGGGGGAAGAAUGUCAGGAAGACCGGUAUGUGGCCAGAACAUAGCACCUUUCAUUGGCCUGAGUAUAUUUUCAUAAGCUUUCAUGUAUACAGCUUUACUGAAACAAUCAUCAACUUUUUCCUCGGGAUUUCGAUUCAUACUAAAUAGUGCAACACAUCCAUGAAUACAUGGAAUGCCACUUAACUGCCAUCUUCUACAACUACAUACCUUAUUCACCAUAUCUACCACCCACUGUCCCCCAUUAGUGUCUCGGACUUCACACUCAUCCCCACCAGUCCAUGUUGAUUUACAGAAUUGAGUACCCUCAAUACAUUUAUUCAAUUUUUUAAUGAUUCUUGGACAUAUUUUACACUCAACUGCAGACAUUGCAUCUCUUUUUUUAUGAAUUCUUUCCAUAAUUUGCAACCUUAUGUCAUCUAACAAUUGAAUAAUAGGCUUGUAUCUUGCCUCUACUAUCCAACUGUUAAAGCACUCAGAUAAAUUAUUGUCAACCAUUUCGCAAGCAGUUAAGAUAUCAAAAAAUGCUCUGGACCAAUAUCUUGGUUCUGUCUUAACCAAAUCAGUGUAGGCAAGUGGGGAUAUACCUUUAAUCUCCUCCAUGAUUAGAUUAAACUCCUCAACUGUUGAAGUCUUUGCAGCCCUCCAAAACAUAUUUUUAAGAACAACUCCUGGAUGAUUCUUUCUCCAAUUAGCAUAUAUAUGCCUGGCACAACACCUGGCACUUAGCUUGAACCCUCUGCAAGUCAUUUUUACUAAACCAAAUGUCUCUCUUCUGUUCCACAGCAUAGUCAAUGAUAGCAUUUUUUAAAACAAAUGCACUAGUAAACACAAGUCCAAUCUCAAAUUCAAUGUGUUUCAUAAGGGUGUUUGGAUUAAAUGUUGUAAAUCCCUUUGAUUUCGACUUAUUUUUCUCCACUCUUCUACUAGACUCAACCUCCAAAUCACUAGAAUCUGUUGACUCUGGUUCAUUCAAUUUAAAAGAGUCACUCUCAUACUCACUCUCCCAUCCAGUUUCAUCAUUUAAUUGACUAGCCUCAACCUUUUUUUUUAGUUUCUCCUCGUAUGCAACUUCCAUUGGAUUCUUUUUAGCUUGAUACACUUCUUUCUUCUUUUUAAUUAUAUCGACAAACUCCUCAUCAUGAUCAGUGUCAUAUUCAUCCUCAAUAUCAAUACUUUCAUUUUCACUCUCCUCACUUUCACAUUCAUCAUAUUCACUGUCAUCAGCAUCACUGUGAUUAUCAGCCUCAAUCUUAUCACUCUCUUCGCAAGCAUGGUCCACAUAAAUAUUUAUUCUACCAUUAAUUAAUGCAUCUGCACACAUCUCAUGUAUUAUUUCAUCAUUCCAUAACAACCUACAUCCAUUACUAUCAAAUGAUGAUCCAUCCUUAAGCCAAUAAAUUUUAAAAUUCUUAUAACCAAGAUCAGCACUGAUGAAUUUUUCACAUAUAGCAACUGAUAUAUUAUCUACGGCUUGAUCAUAGAUGUAUUCAGUUUUACCUCCUUUGUAGUAUCUUAUCCCAUUCUUUGUCGUGAACUGCCCACCAUGAUGAAUCUCCACUUUAACACCGGAUUCCAUCUGAAAUAAGCAAUUUCGAGUUAUAAAAUGAAGAUAAAUGAAAGAGAUGAAGUAAGAAGAUUAAACGAAUAUCAUAUAUACAUGUUUAAGCUCUCAAAUACCUGCGAUUUUGAUCUUCUCUCAAUAGCCCCAAUUUCACUUAAACCCUAACUAUAGACCCAGUUAGCCGAUGCUUGUUUUUUGUCUGUGAAACAUAUAUGUAUAUUAUGUUUUUAUAUGUAUAUUACAUAUUUAAAUUAAAUUAGUUAAAUGAACUUAUGAGUCAGCAUCCACGUGUUUAAUUCUAAUAAUAUUUUAUAUAUUAUUUAUUUAAAUUUCCUGCCACCUAAGCAAAAGUUAACGUCCGUUAACUUUUUUUGGACAGAAGGACCCGAAUCAAAAAUAUUAAAAAGUUCCAGGAUCGUAUUUAUUUUUUUUAUAGUUCAAGGACGUAGAUCAUAAAACAAGUAAAGUUCAAGGACGGUUGAAUUUAUUUUCCCCAUUAAAAUAUUCAUUUCCCUCUCUACUCCACAUCAUUUCCCUCUCUUUUUUUUUCAUCUUUCCCUCUUUUUAAUAUUAAUAUAAUAAUAGGGAAUGGAUAUAGGGAGUACUAUUGGAGCUCAUGUGCUAAAUCAUGUGCUAAAUCACUAAGACAUACUCCCUCCGUCCCAUUUAAUUGUAUACGUUUCUUUUCAACUGCUCGACAUGCAUUUCAAUGCUCUUAUAAAACAUAGUUCCGUAACUUAUUUUUGAGAUUUUCUUUUUCUGAAUAAAAAUAUAACAUUCAAACUUUAAUUCAGAAAAAGAAAUUUUUAAAAAUAAAUUACACAACUACAUUUUACAGGAGCAUUAAAGUCCGUGUCGCGUCCCCGUCUCCCAAUGUAUACUACUCAGGGGGACGGAGGGAGUAUUAUUUUUUAAUAUUUUUAGAGAGCGUUGGACUUCCUCUUAGUCCUGUGUGAUAGUAUAAGCAAGUGCAACCGAGAGGAUACCGGGUAGACACCAAUUAGGGUUCUUCACUCCUUUCCUAAUUCAGUGUAACUAGAAAUCACCUACUACUACUAUCCAUACAUUUCUGUAUUGUCUGAGUCUUCAUCAGUCUCUCAAUGGAUGGUCCUAUGAAGCAGAAAUCAAAAAUCACAAGCGAAGAUGAAGAGCAAGAAGACAGAAUCAGCAGAUUGCCAGACGAUCUAAUCCAUCAAAUCCUCAAGUUUGUAGACACCAAAUUGGGUGUUCAAACCAGCGCUCUCUCGAAACGAUGGAAGCUUGUGUGGACUACUCUCCCAUUCCUCAAAUUCAGAUGGGAUCAAUUUCGAUACAACGGAAGCUCGUGUUCGUCGAAAAGCACAACAAAUCUUGCCCGUCAUGUUUUGAAGCACCGCAACCAUCAAGCCCAGAUAUCGUAUUUGGAGCUGGCGUUCCUGCCUUCAGGUUUGUUCGCGAAGUUUGUUGAUUAUGCUAUUGCUCACAAUGUGCAACACUUGAAUGUUCAUUUUCGAGAAAAGCAUAAGCCUUACAAGUUAUCUAACUUUAAUUGUGAUUGUAUUGAGAAACUCGAGAUGAGAAUGGAGCUUGAUGAUUCUCUGCGGGAAUCGGAUUGUUGGGAUUUACCAGCUUUAACAAGUCUACGCUUGAGAGGGUACUUGGUUUCGGGUCGGCUAGAUAAGUUACCGGAAAUGUGUUUGACCUGCUUGCCUGCGCUACGAUCCUUGAAUCUUGAAGAAUGGAAUUUGGAGUGUUUUUCUUUCAGUUUGCCUAAUUUAACAAAUUUUCGGCUAUGGGGCUGUCGUUUGCCCCAAACAAUUUGGGAUUUCCCAGCUUUAAAAAGUCUAGAGUUAUGUGAUGUGGAAUUUCCCGAGAAUAUGAGUGACAUAUUUGCUGCACUUGUCAGUCUACAGAAUCUCACAAUAUAUUUCUACGGGUUGUCUGCAAAAGAUUGUUUCAUAAAUUGUCCUCAUUUAAUCGACCUCGAGAUCGAAACCAGCUACGGUGAUCGUGGUAAGGCCAACAUUGUGGUUUCGGCACCAAAAAUCCGCAAUUUCACUUCUGUUGGUAUAUUUACAAUCACAUUCGGAGCUUCUAAGUUGGAUACUGUGAAUAUAAAGUUAAAGGAUUGGAUGGAUUCUGGGAGCUACGAGUGGUUGCACCGGAAGGAGUUCAAACGGGAUUAUCAACGGUUUAAAUUCAUGCUACCAGGACUUGCCACUGCCAAGAUUCUUAAACUUGACCUGGAAACCAUAGAGGUAACUCUUUAUUCAAUUUUCUUCUUAUGUUGUAGGAUUACCCCUGUGUUUUCUUCUCCAAUUAAAUAUAUAAAUCUUAUUUCUUUGUAUAAAUUUUUUCCUAGGUUUUUUAAAUCUCAUAGCAUGUCUUCUAGGUCUUUUACGUCAGUAGCCUAAUUUGUUAUUGAUUGGUAACACAUAUACGUGGUAGACAAUUGUUACAUGUUUCUUAAGGGUUUUUUUUCCCAGAUAGUGAUUUCCACACUUCUCAUUUGCUACUUGAUCCAUCUUGCUUCCUUUCAAAUUAUAUACUGUACUUGAAACAGGCAACUAAUGAACAACUUCUACAUUUUUUUAAUGUGGUACACAUUGAAUUGCAGGUCAACAUUUCUCUUUGUUUUGCUGAAGUUAUAUUUGUUUACUGUGUCUUGUUUCAUUAUUUGUAGGCACUUUCGUCGAUAUCCGACUUUCUUGGAAGUUCAUCUCCAUUCUUUAACUUGAAAUAUGUGAAACUUCCACAUGGAUGUAAAGAGUCAAGUAUAUCUACUUCUCUAAGAAAGUACUUACUCGGUGCCUCUCCAACAGCCACUAUAGUCACAACAUUUCCCCAGGUAUUUAAAUUAUCCUUCUCCACAACAUUUCUUGUCUUAUUUCUUUUAGGCAGUAACGGUGCCUGUAGCAUUUAGUCAGUCAUACUAGGUAUAAAUUCUCACGUUACUGUCUUCGGAUGGGGGAACAGGGCAUGAAUGAUCAAGCUACGUGUUGAACUAUUAUUCAGUCAAGAAUUGAACUGAUUUUCAGUCGAGAAUUCUUUUCUAAACUUGCAUUAUAUGUGAAGAUACAUUUCGUUUUUUUAUCUCAGUGAGUUAUUUUACUUGUGUUUUUGAUUCUCUUUCAGAACAACAUCAUUCCUUCUACAGCGACAAGUUCUCUGACAACCCAAUAUGUAGUACGAGAAGAGCCCUUGGCUGCUCGAACCAAGGUAUUGACUGAUGUUGAAAGAACAUAUAAAAAAAUGCGCAAUGAAACUAUGGACAUGGGGGUGCAGGAAAAGCAUGUUUUACAUGCUGACAAGGUUAGAAAUUCUGUUUACCUCAUUGAAGGUAUUGGCAAUGAUCGUGUAACUUCUUCAAGGGGGAAUAGUAAUCUUGGGUUAUGGAGAGGCCAUGAAGUUAAUUCUGAAUUUGUAUGUCUACUUAAUCGGAUCAUGAAUAAGUACCCCGAAACCUUUGAGUCCUUCGCCAUAAAAAACAAGAAGUUUUGUACAGUGAUGCUGAAUAUGUUGUGCACCUCAGUAAAUGACUUUAUCAAAUUCACUAUGACUGAAGUUGAUAGAGAGAUGAUUGCUGAGUACAGCGAUGUAUUUGCUGACCUGAAGAUAUUAGGAUUCAAUGUUAGUUGGCUUGUGGGUCGUCUGAAUUAUAUAGAACAUCUCCAAUUUUCACAUCCCCUACUGACAGAGCUGUAUGCACUGGAUGGU